GGUCCGUCCCUUAUUUUAGAAUGCCAAUUGAUCACAUUCGCCUUGAUUUCAAGCUAUUGUUUCGGCAACCAAGCCGAAGUUCGGAAAAUGUCUAGUGCAAUAAAAUAUGAAUUAAAAAUUAACCUUACUAAGUUACAUUAACAUAUAGGGCAAGGAGUAAGAGCCUACUAAAAACUAUUCGGCGCUCAAUUCCUACAGUAAAAUAUUUACAUGAUUUCUAUAACAUAAAUCAGUUCAAAGUAUAAUAGUUCAUAAUAAAUUAAAUAUGUACAUAACCGGAAUUUUUGAGAAUUUAGAAAGCUUACAAGUGCAUUAAUUACGACUAGAAGUGCAUAUCGUCAACACAAUGUAUUAUAUUCCGUUAAUUCUUUUCGAUUUUAGUUUCGAAAAUCCCCGAAAAAGGAAUAUUUCUUUGUAAUUCUAAUUGUUUUUGCACCAAAGAUUCGUGGCCUUUAACUUGUUCCUGCAUGUGCUGAGGCUAUAUAUAUAAGGACCAACUUUAAUUUUUGCAAUUUAUAGUAUUAUUAUAACUUACAGUGUUGCAGUUAAAGUCAUGUAUUAUACCACUGUGAAAAACUGACUGUUAUAGCUAGCUAUAUGUAUUGUUAUUUUGAUUAAGGCAAGUAAACAAAGGCAGUUUUCAAAAGACUUUUACGACUUUCAUUUGUUGACUCCAGUAACUGCUACUGUGAGGCUUAUGACGAAUUUUAAUUUUUAAGAUUCCUACAUAGUAGCCUACAUGGCUUAAUAUAUUCAUAAUAAUUCUUGAUACUUUAUAGUAUUACAAUAUCACUGCCUAAAACUCGUUGCUAUAAGAGGGUGUCUGUAAAAGCCGGAACCCCACCCGGAACACCCGGAACCCACCCGGAACCCCACCCGGAACACGCUGGAAUACGAGCUAUGAAGCAACGCACGUGUUUCUC
Non-coding RNA from Paramuricea clavata, 923 nucleotides. The record is from the annotation of a GenBank genome assembly. Lineage: Eukaryota; Metazoa; Cnidaria; Anthozoa; Malacalcyonacea; Plexauridae.